CCUACGGGAGGCUGCAGUGAGGAAUAUUGGUCAAUGGGCGAGAGCCUGAACCAGCCAUGUCGCGUGAAGGAUGAAGGAUCUAUGGUUUGUAAACUUCUUUUAUAUGGGAAUAAAGUGAGGAACGUGUUCCUUUUUGUAUGUACCAUAUGAAUAAGCAUCGGCUAACUCCGUGCCAGCAGCCGCGGUAAUACGGAGGAUGCGAGCGUUAUCCGGAUUUAUUGGGUUUAAAGGGUGCGUAGGUGGUUAAUUAAGUCAGAGGUGAAAGUUUGUGGCUCAACCAUGAAAUUGCCGUUGAAACUGGUUGACUUGAGUAUAUUUGAGGUAGGCGGAAUGCGUGGUGUAGCGGUGAAAUGCAUAGAGAUCACGCAGAACUCCGAUUGCGAAGGCAGCUUACUAAACUAUAACUGACACUGAAGCACGAAAGCGUGGGGAGCAAACAGGAUUAGAUACCCGGGUAGUC
This 460-nucleotide ribosomal RNA is filed under the name uncultured bacterium. RNAcentral's name for it is "partial 16S ribosomal RNA". It matches the Rfam family "Bacterial small subunit ribosomal RNA", at positions 338 to 795 of the family's 1533-position model. The record is from RNAcentral.